RNAcentral lists this ribosomal RNA (253 nucleotides) under uncultured bacterium. RNAcentral describes it as "partial 16S ribosomal RNA". It matches the Rfam family "Bacterial small subunit ribosomal RNA", at positions 524 to 776 of the family's 1533-position model. The record is from RNAcentral.
UACGUAGGUGGCAAGCGUUGUCCGGAAUUACUGGGCGUAAAGCGCAUGUAGGCGGCAUCGCAAGUCGGGCGUGAAAUCCCACGGCUCAACCGUGGAAGUGCACUCGAAACUGCGCAGCUAGAGUCCUGGAGAGGAAGGUGGAAUGCUUGGUGUAGAGGUGAAAUUCGUAGAUAUCAAGCGGAACACCGGUGGCGAAGGCGGCCUUCUGGACAGUGACUGACGCUGAGAUGCGAAAGCGUGGGGAGCAAACAGG